Molecule: long non-coding RNA, 622 nt
Organism: Raphanus sativus (radish)
Lineage: Eukaryota; Viridiplantae; Streptophyta; Magnoliopsida; Brassicales; Brassicaceae
Exons: 2
Source: RefSeq, a predicted model, not a curated record
AAGAAGCCCACCAAGUUUGACACCUCCCCAUGAAUAAAUUCAAUAGACAAGUGUGCUUUUGUGUGAUUCAAUCUUACUAUAUAUACAGUUGUGGUCUAUGACAAUUGAGAGAAGAACAAACUGACAAUGAAGAAAACAACACAUGCUUUUCUUCUUCUACUACGUUUGCUGCUUCUUAUAUGCCUAGUCUUUCAGGUUCAUGUCACAGAGGCUAGACCCUUCCAUGUCCCGACCUGGAUGCCCACAUAUCCCUCUGUUCCAUGUAGAGCUGCUCCAAGAGGAAGUGGAGUUACGGGAAUCAUGAACACGCAGUGUCGAACGAUUCGAAGACCUCCUCCUGCUAAUUAGUGAUCUCGGUCCAAGGGAUAGCAACGUUGAAUAUUAAUUUGAUAUGCAGUCAGAAGUCCACCACUUUAUAUUCAGUCAGAAGUCCACCACGAAUAAAAACUCGACUGUUCAGUUUCGUUAUCAUAUCAUUCCAAAUAAUUGUUUUACGCUUUGCUAAAGAUUAUUGCAUAAUUGAGAUAUUUUCUAUUCUCUUAUAAAAAUCAUGUGUACAUGGUAAAAAUAAAGUUUACAGUAAUGUUUUUGAUCAAAACAAUUCAGCUAACUCACUAGAUAA